AGCAGUAGCCACGGGAAUACGUAGGUGGCAAGCGUUGUCCGGAAUUAUUGGGCGUAAAGGGCUCGCAGGCGGUUUCUUAAGUCUGAUGUGAAAGCCCCCGGCUCAACCGGGGAGGGUCAUUGGAAACUGGGAAACUUGAGUGCAGAAGAGGAGAGUGGAAUUCCACGUGUAGCGGUGAAAUGCGUAGAGAUGUGGAGGAACACCAGUGGCGAAGGCGACUCUCUGGUCAGUAACUGACGCUGAGGAGCGAAAGCGUGGGGAGCGAACAGGAUUAGAUACCCCAGUAGUCCCUGUCUCUUAUAC
RNAcentral lists this ribosomal RNA (303 nucleotides) under uncultured bacterium. RNAcentral's name for it is "partial 16S ribosomal RNA". It matches the Rfam family "Bacterial small subunit ribosomal RNA", at positions 507 to 807 of the family's 1533-position model. The record is from RNAcentral.